RNAcentral lists this long non-coding RNA (601 nucleotides) under Solanum tuberosum (potato). Its description in RNAcentral is "long non-coding RNA (STUB_LNC002473)". Lineage: Eukaryota; Viridiplantae; Streptophyta; Magnoliopsida; Solanales; Solanaceae. The record is from RNAcentral.
CCACCAGUAGUAAAGCCACUUCCUCCACCAGUUCCAGUUUACAAGCCACCAGUAGUAAAACCCCUUCCACCACCUGUUCCAAUUUACAAAAAGCCAUGCCCACCAUUUCCACACCUUCCACCACUGCCACCAAUAGUGAAGCCACUUCCUCCUCCAGUUCCAGUUUACAAGCCACCAGUAGUAAAACCCCUUCCACCACCUGUUCCAAUUUACAAAAAGCCAUGCCCACCAUUUCCACACCUUCCACCACUGCCACCAAUAGUGAAGCCACUUCCUCCACCAGUUCCAGUUUACAAGCCACCAGUAGUAAAACCCCUUCCACCACCUGUUCCAAUUUACAAAAAGCCAUGCCCACCAUUUCCACACCUUCCACCACUGCCACCAAUAGUGAAGCCACUUCCUCCUCCAGUUCCAAUUUACGUGCCACCAGUAGUAAAACCCCUGCCACCACCCGUUCCAAUUUAUGAGCCACCAGUAGUAAAACCCCUGCCACCACCUGUUCCAAUUUACAAGCCACCAUUUUACAAAAAGCCAUGCCCACCACUUCCACCAUUCCCUAAAAUUCCUCCCUUCCACCAUCCUCUCUUCCCACCACUUCCAC